RNAcentral lists this unclassified non-coding RNA (337 nucleotides) under soil metagenome. RNAcentral's name for it is "partial contains 5.8S ribosomal RNA, internal transcribed spacer 2, and large subunit ribosomal RNA". The stretch from base 1 to 120 matches the Rfam family "5.8S ribosomal RNA", at positions 35 to 154 of the family's 154-position model. The record is from RNAcentral.
GAUGAAGAACGCAGCGAAAUGCGAUAAGUAGUGUGAAUUGCAGAAUUCAGUGAAUCAUCGAAUCUUUGAACGCACAUUGCGCCCCUUGGUAUUCCAUGGGGCAUGCCUGUUCGAGCGUCAUUUGUACCUUCAAGAUCUGCUUGGUGUUGGGUGUUUGUCUCGCCUCUGCGUGUAGACUCGCCUUAAAACAAUUGGCAGCCGGCGUAUUGAUUUCGGAGCGCAGUACAUCUCGCGCUUUGCACUCAUAACGACGACGUCCAAAAGUACAUUUUUACACUCUUGACCUCGGAUCAGGUAGGGAUACCCGCUGAACUUAAGCAUAUCAAUAAGCGGAGGA